RNAcentral lists this unclassified non-coding RNA (255 nucleotides) under plant metagenome. Its description in RNAcentral is "partial contains small subunit ribosomal RNA, internal transcribed spacer 1, and 5.8S ribosomal RNA". The record is from RNAcentral.
UUUCCGUAGGUGAACCUGCGGAAGGAUCAUUAACGAGUUAGGGUCUUUCAGGCCCGCCCUCCCAACCCUAUGUUUCUUUAACCUCUGUUGCUUCGGCGGACCCGUCUCACGACGGCCGUAGUACCGCCGCGUUCCGUCCUUUGGCCCGCAUCCGCCGAGAGCCAACCACUUUACACUUUGAAUGAAUCGGGUCAUUAUGCCGAAGUCAAUGAUUAAAUUAAAGCAAAACUUUCAACAACGGAUCUCUUGGUUCUG